This 73-nucleotide transfer RNA is filed under the name Pithovirus LCPAC304. RNAcentral describes it as "tRNA-Asp". It matches the Rfam family "tRNA". From Rfam's summary of the family: Transfer RNA (tRNA) molecules are approximately 80 nucleotides in length. Their secondary structure includes four short double-helical elements and three loops (D, anti-codon, and T loops). The record is from RNAcentral. Lineage: Varidnaviria; Bamfordvirae; Nucleocytoviricota; Megaviricetes; Pimascovirales; Pithoviridae.
UUCUCUGCAGUGUAGAUGGUUAGCAUGGUGGCUCGUCAAGUCAUCAACCUGGGUUCGAACCCCAGCAGGGAAG